Molecule: unclassified non-coding RNA, 786 nt
Filed under: Hevea brasiliensis (rubber tree)
Lineage: Eukaryota; Viridiplantae; Streptophyta; Magnoliopsida; Malpighiales; Euphorbiaceae
Source: RNAcentral
CAGAGGAACUAAAGUCAAUCACAACCCACCGAUCAAUUGGUUUCCCUUCCACCACUCCUUUUCCAACAAGAUUCCAGUGGCACUUUUCCUUGUCAACAGCAAUUUUUAUCACCCUUCCAUUGGAAGCACUUAGCUUCAACUCCGGUGGCCCAAUCACACGCCCUAGCACUGAAGUCAUAUCCAUGUCAACUUCCAUUCCAAAAUUCUGGAUUAUGUUUCCACCACAAGGCCCAUCUCUAUCAGCUACCAUAUCACAUAUUAUCCUCUGCCUGUCCCUUGGAGUUGCCAAGGAUAUCUUCUUCAAAUAGAGGCCCACAUCUCGAUUCAAAUUCUCCUUUGGAUAAAUCUGACCCUCAACCAGGACACAGAACUCCAUUGGUACAUAAUUUUUUCGGUUGUUUGUGCCUAAAUCAAGACAAGGAAUGUCUUUGAAUUGUAUAUCCUGGUACUUUUGCCUGAAAUAUUCAACAAGAAUAACUUUCCUUGGUGGAGCUUUGCUAUUUGGGUCUUCAGAAAAAAAUGAAAGAUAACGUGCAUUAUCCUUUGUAAGUCCAGCAAUAGUAUACUUUUGUUUGGUAAUGCGGUGAGUCACUGUAACUUUCAGUCCCUUCAAUGCAUUCUCAACAUCUCUUCCACAGCUUCUGAAAUCAUUUAAGUUAAACCCAGGAACAUGCUCUCUAAGAAAAUCUAUCACUGGAAGUCGCUUGCGAAAUGCCAGUACAGAAUAGUCCAAGCACAUGGCUAGACCCUGGAAGGUGGGCUUGAGGCUAUGCUGAAAACCUCUGG